This 494-nucleotide ribosomal RNA is filed under the name uncultured bacterium. RNAcentral's name for it is "partial 16S ribosomal RNA". It matches the Rfam family "Bacterial small subunit ribosomal RNA", at positions 28 to 507 of the family's 1533-position model. The record is from RNAcentral.
GACGAACGCUGGCGGCGUGCUUAACACAUGCAAGUCGAACGGUGAAGCGCCUUCCUUUUUGGUGGGUGUGGAUGAGUGGCGAACGGGUGAGUAACACGUGAGUAACCUGCCCCCUUCUUCUGGAUAACCGCAUGAAAGUGUGGCUAAUACGGGAUAUUCUGGGUCUGUCGCAUGAUGGGUCUGGGAAAGAUAUUGUUUCGGUGGGGGAUGGGCUCGCGGCCUAUCAGCUUGUUGGUGGGGUGAUGGCCUACCAAGGCGGUGACGGGUAGCCGGCCUGAGAGGGUGGACGGUCACACUGGGACUGAGACACGGCCCAGACUCCUACGGGAGGCAGCAGGGGGGAAUAUUGCACAAUGGGCGGAAGGCUGAUGCAGCGACGCCGCGUGAGGGAUGGAGGCCUUCGGGUUGUGAACCUCUUUCGCCAGUGAAGCAGGCCUGCCUCGUUUGUGGGUGGGUUGACGGUAGCUGGAUAAGAAGCGCCGGCUAACUACGUG